Molecule: long non-coding RNA, 524 nt
Organism: Olea europaea var. sylvestris
Lineage: Eukaryota; Viridiplantae; Streptophyta; Magnoliopsida; Lamiales; Oleaceae
Exons: 2
Source: RefSeq, a predicted model, not a curated record
GUUUCUGUUUCUGACUUGAAGUGGCUCCGACUUCAGGUUGGCAUCAAUGUUCCAAUUCCAGUUCCUUUACCCUUCUUCUCAUUUACUGGCUCCAAAGCUUCUUUUGCUGGGGAUCUCAACUUUUACGGCAAGGCAGGCGUUCAGUUUUUCACACAGAUUAAGACAGUUACUCAACAAUGGAAGGAUCUACCAAGCAGUGCUGGAGUGUCCUUGGCAAUGCCGACUUCUCAAAAGACAUGAUGAACAAAAUAACUCAAUGUGCUUAAUUAGAAACUCCCAUUAGACCUCAUGUGCUGAUGUUUGAUCUUUUUCAACCUCUCGCCGUUACUGUGAUUACAAACGUCACUGAAUUUUAUGUUUAUUUUGUGAGAAAAGGAAAGGUGAUGUAAAUGAACUUCCAGGAUGUUUCUUUUUCUUUCCAGUCUCUUCGAUAAAUUCGUAGACUUAGAUAAAGCCUGAGGAUCAGAAACUCGUCUGAAGGUCAAGAAGACAUUAUUGAGUGAAAAAAACUCAUUGUUGAUGCU